RNAcentral lists this ribosomal RNA (368 nucleotides) under uncultured Burkholderia sp. RNAcentral describes it as "bacterial SSU rRNA". It matches the Rfam family "Bacterial small subunit ribosomal RNA", at positions 547 to 915 of the family's 1533-position model. Lineage: Bacteria; Pseudomonadati; Pseudomonadota; Betaproteobacteria; Burkholderiales; Burkholderiaceae. The record is from RNAcentral.
GAUUACUGGGCGUAAAGCGUGCGCAGGUGGUUNGUUAAGACAGAUGUGAAAUCCCCGGGCUUAACCUGGGAACUGCGUUUGUGACUGGCGAGCUAGAGUCUUUCAGAGGGAGGURGAAUUCCACGUGUAGCAGUGAAAUGCGUAGAUAUGUGGARGAAYACCGAUGGCGAAGGCARCCUCCUGGGMMAUGACUGACACUCAUGCACGAAAGCGUGGGGAGCAAACAGGAUUAGAUACCCUGGUAGUCCACGCCCUAAACGAUGUCAACUGGUUGUUGGGUAACUUGUUUACUCAGUAACGAAGCUAACGCGAGAAGUUGACCGCCUGGGGAGUACGGUCGCAAGAUUAAAACUCAAAGGAAUUUGACG